This 334-nucleotide ribosomal RNA is filed under the name uncultured eukaryote. Its description in RNAcentral is "partial 18S ribosomal RNA". It matches the Rfam family "Eukaryotic small subunit ribosomal RNA", at positions 1470 to 1796 of the family's 1831-position model. The record is from RNAcentral.
CCCUUAGAUGUCCGGGGCCGCACGCGCGCUACACUGAAGGAAUCAGCGUGGCUUUCUCCCUGACCCGAAAGGGUUGGGAAACCCGUUGAAUCUCCUUCGUGAUAGGGAUUGGGGCUUGAAAUUGUUCCCCAUGAACGAGGAAUUCCCAGUAAGCGCGAGUCAUAAGCUCGCGUUGAUUACGUCCCUGCCCUUUGUACACACCGCCCGUCGCUACUACCGAUUGAACGGUUUAGUGAGGGCCUCGGAUUGGUCUCGGCCCGCUCUUUACCGGGCGGCGCCGUUGGUCGAGAAGACGCUCGAACUUGAUCGUUUAGAGGAAGUAAAAAUCGUAACA